Long non-coding RNA from Thalassophryne amazonica, 608 nucleotides. RefSeq lists it as uncharacterized. The transcript is spliced from 3 exons. The record is from RefSeq and is a predicted model, not a curated record. Lineage: Eukaryota; Metazoa; Chordata; Actinopteri; Batrachoidiformes; Batrachoididae.
AUUUGUCUUCCGGGUUACAGAACCUGAGGUGGAGUUUUUUUAACUUUUACUUUGUCUUUUGGACUGUCUUCUCUGUCUUUUUGUCGUUGCUGUUGACUUCUGGUGAUCAGGAGAAGCAGAAUGACAUCAUUCACAGUAUCGAACAGCUAAAUGACAAAGUUGAUGCACUGCAUCCUUGGACCGUCCCUGAAAGUGUCGGUUCCCAGACAUACCAGGAGGGAGAACAAUGUGGGCGCUGCUGAGACGAUUAUCUGAAGAAUGGCCAGCUCUAAACCAGAAGUGUGGGCUUGAACCAAUUCCAAGCAGUGCCUGGAAGUAACAGGCCUUCCAGUAAAGUCACUUGAAGAACUCGAGUGCUAAUGACAAACGUGAUGGUGAGGACAAGGGAACCAGGCACCAGAGGAAUGCCCUAAUCAAUACCUUAACUGCAUACACCCCUGGAAUGGAACAAGGGAAGAAUACGGUAACAAGCAUUGUCAGGGGCGGCUUGUAUGCUAUGGCUGUUUAUCUUUGGCAGUGCUUCAGCAGUCAGGGAAAGUCAGGAACUGUCAAAGGCAGCCUUGCCAGGGACGUGCCACAAAUUUACAGUCGUCAUGGCGGCUGCAAUA